Paramacrobiotus metropolitanus is the source of this 3155-nucleotide long non-coding RNA. RefSeq lists it as uncharacterized. The record is from RefSeq and is a predicted model, not a curated record. Lineage: Eukaryota; Metazoa; Tardigrada; Eutardigrada; Parachela; Macrobiotidae. The transcript has 3 exons.
UCUAUUAAGUAUCGGCAGAGGAUGACAUCACCGUUGCUUUUUCCCAAUUUCAGUUUUGCCAGUGAUAAACUACUGACGGAAUAUCUGAUCGAAGUACUAGUAUAUGCACACAUGCACUAACGAUAAAGUAAGCGAAUGGCAGUUCGAUGAAUUACAACUUCAUUUUUCGGCAUUAGCCAGUGCACAUUUCCCACUCUUCAACCCAUCCCCGACAAGAUUUCAGCCCUGAAACGGUGAACGCGUUACAAUGUUUAAAAUUUGCUGACUCGCCGAUACGGAUCGUGAUCCAAGAAGUUUUCAUGACAAGAAGUAUGAGUUUAACGACCAACUAAACGUGUUACAUGAGGUUAAUGUUACUUCGGCGGUGCUCGCUUUCCCUGCCGGCCCACCAUUCAGACGGGAUGCCUUUCGGACGCUUUGAUGGCUCAGCGGCGGCCGCUGCUUUGUUGCUGUUACGUUUUCCACACGUUGUUUCGAGCUGUUCUUGUCGCGUCUGCUCGUGCGCUAGCGUCACGAUUUCUUAUUUUUACGUUUGUUCAGUUCUUGUGGACAAUGUUAAUCUGUGGACAAUGUCUGGAAUAGAUCACUCGCUCGCGCGGCACCACAAGCUCCCGCGGCAUCCACGGCGGGCAGAGGACACGCGCAGCGGCCGAACUCAGCAGCGGCAGGAAGCGAUCAGCGGACAAUCCUGACGCCACUUCCGCCACGAAACGGAUAGCGUCUACGAUCGUAGUUCCCGCUGAGUCCUCCAUCAGUUCAGCAUCACAGAUCACGACUUUGUCAUCCCAGAUUGCAGCCAUGCAGCAGCGAAUAAAGCACCUGGAGGUGCAACAAGAAAGCUCCAGCCGCAACGCGCUGGAUGUUGACGGGUCCAGGCCACAGCGCUCUCUAUCACCGUCCUCUAACCGGGUCACUGCGGUGCAAGGUAAGUAUACCGACAGUGUACUUGAGGCUCCUUUACCAGCUCGCCGACCGGUGACCGAGCGGCUCGGAGACCAGUCAACAAUAUCCCGUCCAAGUGCAGAGACCUAACCGCAGUUCCGAAGAAAAUCCGGGAUCAGCUAGUGGACCGCGAGCGGUUCGUCGACCUGGCGGACCGGCUGCCACAAAACAGAACACCAUCCAAGCGGCUAGCUCCCGGCACGCGUAUGGUGCUUGACGAAAGCACCGGCAAAUACACCUUCACGGCCGCGGCAAAGAAAGAGCAAAUCACGACUUUUGCCGCCUGGGCGCACGCCUUGGGAGUGUUCAUGCACGCACCGGAAUUCACGGGGCCAAUGCUGAAAUACCUGGGCAUGAUGAGUCUAUCCGCCGAUCCCAGUCGCGGUUACAAUCUUGGGCACGUCUUUGAAUACCAUGGUCAGAAUUACGCAACGAACAAUCCCGACGACACCAAAAACUGGACCAGAAAACAUGACGACUUCUUCCAGAAUGCCAUCGUGAGCCCGGUUGUCACCGUUGCCAGCACAGUCCCAACGAGCAGCAAUAAGUACAAGUCAGCCAAAUGCAGUCGGUGUCAUCAGGUUGGCCAUAUAGCAGCAAACUGACCCGAUCAAGAGCUUUUUCGGAUUAACUCCGCCGCAGACGGAGAAAUGUAACGGAAGCUGAACCGCGGCAUCUGCUCAACGCCAUGCGCUGGAAACCGCAAGCGUGUCUGCAGCUCCUGUGGCUCCGACUUUCACGGCGACUAUGUCCACCGUCAAGCGGGGACUUCCAGCAACAGCGGCCGAUUCAAACCGGAGAACCCCGCUUAAUGCAGAUGAAUUUGCGCGGCGGCUGGCUGAUCAUCGCGAUCAGCAAUUUGUUUCAUCAGUUUCAUGUAUUACCAACAGCGCCGAGUUGAAAUACAGCGGUUUAUUACGUUCUCGUUUUACCCCCAAUAGCUCACCUAUAGAUAUCCAUAAGAGCAUCGCACAGAGCACCAUCGAUCAUGACUGCGCUUAACAUGCGCGUGAAAAAGAGCGGCGGUCAUCGCAUGAUGAUGGACCUUUCCUGCCCGGCGGCAGACUCCGUGAACAUGCGCAUUCCCAAAGACGAUCCCCCGUUACGAUUCUACAACGUCGACGAUGCUAUUUAUGCGCUGACCUCGGUGUAUCGCUAUACGAACAAACUAGAAGGACCGGCGCCGGCCAUCAUUUUUCUCGGGAUCCGCAUCGAUUUUGUUUCCGAAACUCUUUCCUUGCCAGCUGACAGUUUGAGCGACAUAAUGUCACUCAUGACCACCUGGGAGUCGACUCUGUGCCCGCUCCAUGACCUGUAAAGCCUAAUCGGCACGUUGCAGUUUGCAUGCCGAUGCGUGCCGGCGGCAAGGCUGUUCCUGUGAAGAAUGAUCCGGCUCAUCAGUGGUAGCGACAAACGGCCGCUUGCUCAGAUACACCUAAACGCUGGAUGCCAUUUUGAUUUUCAGUGGUGGAAGAAGUUUCUGCCUCUAUGGAACGGCACGAGCAAGUUCCUCCAGCCAACAUGGUCGCAUCCGAAUAUUUACGGACGCAUCAGCCCUUGGCGGUAUCUGUGGUUCCUGUGACAGUGAGCGGUUUCAGUCUCGUUGCGUGGGUCAUCGAAAGGAAGCCCAGCAUCGAAUACCUGUAAAUGAUGGCCAUCCUAUCUGCACUGCAUAUCUGGACUCAGAAGCUACACCGCAUGCAAGUACUGCUGCUUUGUGACAAUCUAGGGGCCUCCCAAGCGUGGAAGAAGCUGGGUUCACAGCAUAGCAGAGUGGCUGUCUCUAACGAUUUGUGGUAUACUUGUCAUGUAUAGCUGCCGCCGUAUCGCACGGAACCCUGCGCGCUGGCUACCCAGCUGUUGGUGCUGCUUACUGCUUACAGCACUCUCCGUUCUGUGUCUGAAUUCUUAAUCUGAUUUAAUGCCCGAGUACGAUUAAUACUGCUGGACAGCCUUCCAUCGUAAGUCAGCAAUUAUUUUUAACAUUAUGUUAGUUUAGCAAAGUAUGAGUUGGAAUGAAUUGUGUUGGUCGCAUAACCUCAUUUUUCAUUUUCGGUCUGUAUUUUUGAAAAAAAACUGUAUACUCGUACCGUUUGGCGGGUUCCCGCUGAUCUGGUACCCAGAACGCCAGAAGUGUUUUGAACCGUCUUCAUUUCUUUUAGCUAAAAAAAUACUGCAUAGCAAUACCUAAGCGCACCUUGUUUUGGUGGUCU